RNAcentral lists this ribosomal RNA (253 nucleotides) under uncultured bacterium. RNAcentral describes it as "partial 16S ribosomal RNA". It matches the Rfam family "Bacterial small subunit ribosomal RNA", at positions 524 to 776 of the family's 1533-position model. The record is from RNAcentral.
UACGGGGGGGGCAAGCGUUGUUCGGAAUUACUGGGCGUAAAGGGCUCGUAGGCGGCCAACUAAGUCCGACGUGAAAUCCCCAGGCUCAACCUGGGAACUGCGUCGGAUACUGGAUGGCUUGAAUCCGGGAGAGGGAUGCAGAAUUCCAGGUGUAGCGGUGAAAUGCGUAGAUAUCUGGAGGAAUACCGGUGGCGAAGGCGGCAUCCUGGACCGGCAUUGACGCUGAUGAGCGAAAGCUAGGGGAGCAAACGGG